Trichonephila clavipes is the source of this 73-nucleotide non-coding RNA. The record is from the annotation of a GenBank genome assembly. Lineage: Eukaryota; Metazoa; Arthropoda; Arachnida; Araneae; Nephilidae.
GGUUCCGUAGUGUAGUGGUUAUCACGUUCAAUUCACUCGCGAAAGGACUGCCGUUCGAUCCCGGACGGAAUUA